Bos taurus (domestic cattle) is the source of this 701-nucleotide long non-coding RNA. The record is from Ensembl. Lineage: Eukaryota; Metazoa; Chordata; Mammalia; Artiodactyla; Bovidae.
CUUCGGCCGCCUGGCCCCCCGCACCCCCAGGCCUUUUAAAAGGACCUCCCGCCGCUCGCGCGCUCUGCCCCGGGGUUUCCCCUGGCCCCGCGCUUCGCCCCGCUCUACUUCUCAGCAACUUCGGCGGCCGCGCGCCGCCGGUUGUCGCCCGCCUUUGAAGUUUGCAGCGCCGGCCGCAAAGUUAGGACACUUCGGGCGAUUUCAUUUUCCCCCCCCUCUUUUAUCUGCCUCCUCCUCCAAGUCCUUGUGGUUCCUGAGUACCGGUGUUCAGCAUCUUGGCCGGAGCAGCCUAGGACGUGGACUUGUUCGCACUCCACACCUCGGGGAGGGAUCUUUCCUCUUCCCCUCAGAAAAAUAUGCAUUUUGCAAGGAGGGAAUCUCCGCACCUCCUCCUCCUCCUCUCCUCCCACCCGAUCCCUGAGCGCCUGUGAGAACCAGGGGAGUCGUCAAUGGAAAUAAAUAGGACCCCGCUCCAUUCUCCGCCCCCUUCAAACAAGUAAAAUCCUCCCCGGGCUCGAAGAAGUAGAGAUAAAACAUCCCUCCCGAGGGAGCGGUUGUCGGCAUUUGAUGGGAUUGAAUUGUUUUAUUAUCCUGAAAGACGUGACGGAUGGAUGCGAGAGCAAAGAUGCGAAUAGACCAGAGUGUACUGAGGGCUAUCGGUAUUUAUUACUCAUUAUUGUUUAUUAAAAGUGAUAAUAAGG